This 207-nucleotide ribosomal RNA is filed under the name uncultured bacterium. RNAcentral describes it as "partial 16S ribosomal RNA". It matches the Rfam family "Bacterial small subunit ribosomal RNA", at positions 568 to 774 of the family's 1533-position model. The record is from RNAcentral.
AGCGCAGGCGGGAGAACAAGUUGGAAGUGAAAUCCACGGGCUCAACCCAUGAACUGCUUUCAAAACUGUUUUUCUUGAGUAGUGCAGAGGUAGGCGGAAUUCCCGGUGUAGCGGUGGAAUGCGUAGAUAUCGGGAGGAACACCAGUGGCGAAGGCGGCCUACUGGGCACCAACUGACGCUGAGGCUCGAAAGUGUGGGUAGCAAACA